AGGCAAUAAAAAUGCUUUCUUAACCGGAAAUGACAAAAUCACACACGAAAUGGUUUCGAUAAAAAAAAGGUCUACCUUUUUUCUCAUCUCCACUUUGCCGGAGGCCCUGCAAAAACCUGUGAAAGACCGUUCUCCGCUGCUUGUGCUUGUUCCGGCCCUCUAACCAAUCCAAUCCAAUCCAGAUCCAGUUCCAAAUCCAAAUGCGGAGGCAGUCAGGCGAACAAUCAAACCGAGAAUCAAACAGACAUUCAUUUGAUUAACCAGACAGCCAAAGUUUAAGCGCAAACCAAUUUAAUUGAAUUAAAAGCCAUAAAAACCAAACAGCCGCCAAACUGUCUCUAACCACAGCUUCCGGUGCCUCCUCCUCCGAUUUUAGACGCUCCUCACCUGUUGCCGAAAAGUUGUAAAAGAAAUUGGUCCGUGCUCCCGGAUAACUGUGCUGCAUCCCGUUCAGAUUCAGAGCCGACUUGGAGUCGAUGGCGUUCCGGGCCAUGCGAUUGGCCAAAUCAUUCUGCGUAUAGCUGUAGAUUUCGUUCUCCUCGCGAUUUGAUAGGC
Non-coding RNA from Drosophila melanogaster (fruit fly), 555 nucleotides. Lineage: Eukaryota; Metazoa; Arthropoda; Insecta; Diptera; Drosophilidae. The record is from Ensembl.